CGGCCGCGGCGGUAAAACCAGCACCUCAAGUGGUCUGGAUGAUUAUUGGGCCUAAAGCAUCCGUAGCCGGCUCUGUAAGUUUUCGGUUAAAUCUGUAUGCUCAACAUACAGGCUGCCGGGAAUACUGUAGAGCUAGGGAGUGGGAGAGGUAGACGGUACUCGGUAGGAAGGGGUAAAAUCCUUUGAUCUAUUGAUGACCACCUGUGGCGAAGGCGGUCUACCAGAACACGUCCGACGGUGAGGGAUGAAAGCUGGGGGAGCAAACCGGAUUAGAUACCCGGGUAGUCCCAGCUGUAAACUAUGCAAACUCAGUGAUGCAUUGGCUUGUGGCCAAUGCAGUGCUGCAGGGAAGCCGUUAAGUUUGCCGCCUGGGAAGUACGUACGCAAGUAUGAAACUUAAAGGAAUUGGCGGGGGAGCAC
Molecule: ribosomal RNA, 420 nt
Filed under: uncultured Nitrososphaerota archaeon
Lineage: Archaea; Thermoproteati; Nitrososphaerota
Description: bacterial SSU rRNA
Rfam family: Archaeal small subunit ribosomal RNA
Source: RNAcentral